AGUGAACGCUGGCGGUAGGCCUAACACAUGCAAGUCGAACGGCAGCACAGUAAGAGCUUGCUCUUACGGGUGGCGAGUGGCGGACGGGUGAGGAAUACAUCGGAAUCUACUUUUUCGUGGGGGAUAACGUAGGGAAACUUACGCUAAUACCGCAUACGACCUACGUGUGAAAGCAGGGGAUCUUCGGACCUUGCGCGAUUGAAUGAGCCGAUGUCGGAUUAGCUAGUUGGCGGGGUAAAGGCCCACCAAGGUGACGAUCCGUAGCUGGUCUGAGAGGAUGAUCAGCCACACUGGAACUGAGACACGGUCCAGACUCCUACGGGAGGCAGCAGUGGGGAAUAUUGGACAAAGGGCGCAAGCCUGAUCCAGCCAUACCGCGUGGGUGAAGAAGGCCUUCGGGUUGUAAAGCCCUUUUGUUGGGAAAGAAAAGCAGCAGGUUAAUACCCCGCUGUUCUGACGGUACCCAAAGAAUAAGCACCGGCUAACUUCGUG
This 492-nucleotide ribosomal RNA is filed under the name uncultured bacterium. RNAcentral's name for it is "partial 16S ribosomal RNA". It matches the Rfam family "Bacterial small subunit ribosomal RNA", at positions 29 to 507 of the family's 1533-position model. The record is from RNAcentral.